This 368-nucleotide ribosomal RNA is filed under the name uncultured organism. RNAcentral's name for it is "bacterial SSU rRNA". It matches the Rfam family "Bacterial small subunit ribosomal RNA", at positions 526 to 896 of the family's 1533-position model. The record is from RNAcentral.
CGAAGGACCCGAGCGUUAUCCGGAUUUAUUGGGUUUAAAGGGUGCGUAGGCGGAUUAGUAAGUCAGUGGUGAAAGCCCAUCGCUUAACGGUGGAACUGCCAUUGAUACUGCUAGUCUUGAGUAUGGUUGAGGUGGGCGGAAUGUGUCAUGUAGCGGUGAAAUGCUUAGAUAUGACCCAGAACACCAAUUGCGAAGGCAGCUCGCUAAGCCAUAACUGACGCUGAUGCACGAAAGCGUGGGGAGCAAACAGGAUUAGAUACCCUGGUAGUCCACGCCCUAAACUAUGAUCACUCGUUGUUGGCGAUACACAGUCAGCGACUAAGGGAAACCAUUAAGUGAUCCACCUGGGAAGUACGACCGCAAGGUUG